CACGUAGGAGGCGAGCGUUGUCCGGAAUCAUUGGGCGUAAAGAGCGCGCAGGCGGCUUGGCAAGUCGGGUGUGAAAUCCCCAGGCUUAACCUGGGAACUGCAUUCGAGACUGCAUUGCUAGAGUAUGGGAGAGGGAAGUGGAAUUUCCGGUGUAGCGGUGAAAUGCGUAGAUAUCGGAAGGAACAUCAGUGGCGAAAGCGACUUCCUGGACCAAUACUGACGCUCAUGUGCGAAAGCGUGGGGAGCAAACAGG
RNAcentral lists this ribosomal RNA (253 nucleotides) under uncultured bacterium. RNAcentral describes it as "partial 16S ribosomal RNA". It matches the Rfam family "Bacterial small subunit ribosomal RNA", at positions 524 to 776 of the family's 1533-position model. The record is from RNAcentral.